GCCUUCGUGUUGUAGUGGUCAGCACGCUGGGCGCGUAUUCCAGAGGUCCGUAGUUCGAGUCCCGGCGAAGGCA
This 73-nucleotide transfer RNA is filed under the name Stegodyphus mimosarum. It matches the Rfam family "tRNA". Rfam says of the family: Transfer RNA (tRNA) molecules are approximately 80 nucleotides in length. Their secondary structure includes four short double-helical elements and three loops (D, anti-codon, and T loops). Lineage: Eukaryota; Metazoa; Arthropoda; Arachnida; Araneae; Eresidae. The record is from Rfam by way of RNAcentral.